GAAAGAGAUAGGUGUUGUGGUGUGUUGGGAGACAGGGAGAGAUGUUGUGGUGUGUUUUGAUGUGGAGAGAGGUGUUGUGGUGUGUUGGGAGACAUAGAGAGGUGUUGUGGAUUGUUGGGAGACAGAGAGAGGUGUUGUGGUGUGUUGGGAGACAGGGAGAGGUGUUGUGGUGUGUUUUGAUGUGGAGAGAGGUGUUGUGGUGUGUUGGGAGACAUAGAGAGGUGUUGUGGUGUGUUUUGAUGUGGAGAGAGGUGUUGUGGUGUGUUGGGAGACAUAGAGAGGUGUUGUGGAUUGUUGGGAGACAGAGAGAGGUCUUGUGGUGUGUUGGGAGACAUAGAUAGGUGUUGUGGUGUGUUGGGAUACAUAGAGAUUUGUUGUGGUGUGUUUGGAGACAUAGAGAGGUGUUGUUGUGUGUUUGGAGACAUAGAGAG
Molecule: long non-coding RNA, 431 nt
Filed under: Salmo salar (Atlantic salmon)
Lineage: Eukaryota; Metazoa; Chordata; Actinopteri; Salmoniformes; Salmonidae
Description: lncRNA (ENSSSAG00000113564.1)
Source: RNAcentral